UACGGAAGGCAGCAGUGGGGAAUAUUGCACAAUGGGCGCAAGCCUGAUGCAGCCAUGCCGCGUGUAUGAAGAAGGCCUUCGGGUUGUAAAGUACUUUCAGUCGUGAGGAAGGUGUUAAGGUUAAUAACCUUAGCAAUUGACGUUAGCGACAGAAGAAGCACCGGCUAACUCCGUGCCAGCAGCCGCGGUAAUACGGAGGGUGCGAGCGUUAAUCGGAAUUACUGGGCGUAAAGGGCACGCAGGCGGUUAAUUAAGUUGGAUGUGAAAUCCCCGGGCUUAACCUGGGAAUGGCAUUCAAGACUGGUUAGCUAGAGUCUUGUAGAGGGGGUAGAAUUCCAUGUGUAGCGGUGAAAUGCGUAGAGAUGUGGAGGAAUACCGGGUGGCGAAAGGCGGCCCCUGGACAAAGACUGACGCUCAUGUGCGAAAAGCGUGGGGAGCAAAACAGGAUUAGAUACC
RNAcentral lists this ribosomal RNA (456 nucleotides) under uncultured bacterium. Its description in RNAcentral is "bacterial SSU rRNA". It matches the Rfam family "Bacterial small subunit ribosomal RNA", at positions 340 to 786 of the family's 1533-position model. The record is from RNAcentral.